CUGAGCUCUCCUUCUGUGUCCAGGGGUUCCUCUCUGUGUCUUGUUCUGUGCAUCUUUAAACCCAGGAGAAACAAACAGUUCCUCACCAACUAUCUACAGUGCAUCAUUAGUUAGACUAUUGGCAGUAGCAAAGCUCCAGGUGCUUAUCACUGACUUGGGACAGAGAAACAGAGAGAAAAGUGCUGUGUCCUCAGAAAGGCUGUUAAACUGCUAGCAUUUGGAAAAGCCCACUGCCAGUCGCAUGUCCUUGGAACUGACAGGCGUCCGCUGGAAGACACACCGGCCAUGGCCUCAGGGUGCAGAAGUGCUUAAGGACAGUGCACUGCUUCUUCAGUCGGCUGUGGCCAGAGAAGAAUACCCCCAAGCUGUCCACUCCGUCUCCAGAACCCGCGAAGAUAAUGCUGUAUGCUGCAGACAGGUGCAAUUACACCAAGGCCCGUGAGAUGCGGAGGGGGCCCUCAAAUGUCUCUCUUGGGAGCAGCUGGCCAGGACUUCUGUGGCGGGGCCCAGCUGAGAUCGUCCCCUGAUGGAGUCCACCAAGGGGUAACCAGAGUAUUCACAGAACAAACAGCAUGGCCUGUGGAACAUGGACAUUUCAUCUGCAGUGAACAAGCAUCAGAAUCUUAUUGAGGAAAGGGGAGAAGGAGACAAGUAAAAGUGGAAAGCACUUACAUUAGCACACGAAACUCUGUGAGACUUUGAGAGCAUAAAGUGAUAGUCCUAAAGCCAGAAACGUAAGGCUGUAUAAGGGUCAGAAGAGCUUAUCCCUGACUCUUACAGCAUUCCUGGAUAAGGACUCAUGGACCUCCCUAAGACUUCACUUCCAGGAAACCAUGCCAAGUAUCAGCAUCUGUAGCCUCCAGGCCAGCAUCUACUUUGGGGGCAGCUGCCCCAUAAAGAAUGGUAGUGAGGCAGGAGAUUAGGGUGGGGACAUGUCGGUCUGGCCCCUUCAUGGCAGAGAGGGAGCACCCACGGCAGAACACAGUUUUCAAGCCCUGCAGCUGGAACAAAUCAGAAAGUGCUAUCUUCAAUUAUUUUGGUAUGAAAUCAAGCAGGUUUUCGAUAGGAC
Molecule: long non-coding RNA, 1069 nt
Filed under: Fukomys damarensis (Damara mole-rat)
Lineage: Eukaryota; Metazoa; Chordata; Mammalia; Rodentia; Bathyergidae
Description: lncRNA (ENSFDAG00000025956.1)
Source: RNAcentral